CAGUAGCCACGGGAAUACAGAGGGUGCAAGCGUUAAUCGGAUUUACUGGGCGUAAAGCGUGCGUAGGUGGCUGUUUAAGUCGGAUGUGAAAGCCCUGGGCUUAACCUGGGAACUGCAUUCGAUACUGGAUAGCUAGAGAUCGGUAGAGGGCAGCGGAAUUCCGGGUGUAGCGGUGAAAUGCGUAGAUAUCCGGAGGAACACCGAUGGCGAAGGCAACUGCCUGGGCCUGAUCUGACACUGAGGCACGAAAGCGUGGGUAGCAAACAGGAUUAGAUACCCGCGUAGUCCCUGUCUCUUAUAC
This 301-nucleotide ribosomal RNA is filed under the name uncultured bacterium. Its description in RNAcentral is "partial 16S ribosomal RNA". It matches the Rfam family "Bacterial small subunit ribosomal RNA", at positions 509 to 807 of the family's 1533-position model. The record is from RNAcentral.